UACGUAGGGUGCAAGCGUUGUCCGGAAUUAUUGGGCGUAAAGAGCUCGUAGGCGGUCUGUCGCGUCUGCCGUGAAAACCUGCAGCUUAACUGUGGGCCUGCGGUCGAUACGGGCAGACUUGAGUUCGGUAGGGGAGACUGGAAUUCCUGGUGCAGCGGUGAAAUGCGCAGAUAUCAGGAGGAACACCGGUGGCGAAGGCGGGUCUCUGGGCAACAACUGACGCUGAGGAGCGAAAGCGUGGGGAGCAAACGGG
RNAcentral lists this ribosomal RNA (253 nucleotides) under uncultured bacterium. RNAcentral describes it as "partial 16S ribosomal RNA". It matches the Rfam family "Bacterial small subunit ribosomal RNA", at positions 524 to 776 of the family's 1533-position model. The record is from RNAcentral.